Molecule: ribosomal RNA, 253 nt
Filed under: uncultured bacterium
Lineage: Bacteria
Description: partial 16S ribosomal RNA
Rfam family: Bacterial small subunit ribosomal RNA
Source: RNAcentral
UACGGGGGGGGCAAGCGUUGUUCGGAAUUACUGGGCAUAAAGGGCUCGUAGGCGGCCAACUAAGUCGGACGUGAAAUCCCUCGGCUUAACCGGGGAACUGCGUCCGAUACUGGAUGGCUUGAGUUCGGGAGAGGGAUGCGGAAUUCCAGGUGUAGCGGUGAAAUGCGUAGAUAUCUGGAGGAACACCGGUGGCGAAGGCGGCAUCCUGGACCGACACUGACGCUGAGGAGCGAAAGCCAGGGGAGCAAACGGG